GAUGAAGAACGUAGCGAAAUGCGAUAAGUAAUGUGAAUUGCAGAAUUCAGUGAAUCAUCGAAUCUUUGAACGCACAUUGCGCCCUCUGGUAUUCCGGGGGGCAUGCCUGUUCGAGCGUCAUUAUAACCACUCAAGCUCUCGCUUGGUAUUGGAGUUCGCGAUCUCGCGGCUCCUAAAAUCAGUGGCGGUGCCUGUCGGCUCUACGCGUAGCAAUACUCCUCGCGAUUGAGUCCGGUAGGUUUACUUGCCAGCAACCCCCAAUUUUUACAGGUUGACCUCGGAUCAGGUAGGGAUACCCGCUGAACUUAAGCAUAUCAAUAAGCGGAGGA
RNAcentral lists this unclassified non-coding RNA (329 nucleotides) under soil metagenome. RNAcentral's name for it is "partial contains 5.8S ribosomal RNA, internal transcribed spacer 2, and large subunit ribosomal RNA". The stretch from base 1 to 120 matches the Rfam family "5.8S ribosomal RNA", at positions 35 to 154 of the family's 154-position model. The record is from RNAcentral.